This 527-nucleotide ribosomal RNA is filed under the name uncultured bacterium. Its description in RNAcentral is "bacterial SSU rRNA". It matches the Rfam family "Bacterial small subunit ribosomal RNA", at positions 778 to 1299 of the family's 1533-position model. The record is from RNAcentral.
AUAGAUACCCAGGUAGUCCAUGCCGUAAACGUUGGGCACUAGGUGUGGGGCUCAUUCCACGAGUUCCGUGCCGCAGCAAACGCAUUAAGUGCCCCGCCUGGGGAGUACGGCCGCAAGGCUAAAACUCAAAGGAAUUGACGGGGGCCCGCACAAGCGGCGGAGCAUGCGGAUUAGUUCGAUGCAACGCGAAGAACCUUACCAAGGCUUGACAUGCACGGGUAAGCCACCAGAGAUGGUGGUCUCUUUGGACACUCGUGCACAGGUGGUGCAUGGUUGUCGUCAGCUCGUGUCGUGAGAUGUUGGGUUAAGUCCCGCAACGAGCGCAACCCUCGUCCCAUGUUGCCAGCGGGUUAUGCCGGGGUACUCAUGGGAGACUGCCGGGGGUUCAACUCGGAGGAAGGUGGGGAUGACGUCAAAUCAUCAUGCCCCGUUAUGUCUUGGGCUUCACGCAUGCUACAAUGGCCGGUACAAAGGGCUGCGAUGCCGUAAGGUGGAGCGAAUCCCAAAAGCCGGUCUCAGUUCGAGUU